This 111-nucleotide ribosomal RNA is filed under the name Vibrio alginolyticus. RNAcentral's name for it is "partial 16S ribosomal RNA". It matches the Rfam family "Bacterial small subunit ribosomal RNA", at positions 1423 to 1533 of the family's 1533-position model. Lineage: Bacteria; Pseudomonadati; Pseudomonadota; Gammaproteobacteria; Vibrionales; Vibrionaceae. RNAcentral also lists the same sequence under 4 other names. The record is from RNAcentral.
GAAGUAGGUAGUUUAACCUUCGGGGGGACGCUUACCACUUUGUGGUUCAUGACUGGGGUGAAGUCGUAACAAGGUAGCGCUAGGGGAACCUGGCGCUGGAUCACCUCCUUA